GUUGAAUGCUGAGUCGAUCCAUAUAUGGUUUGCAAAUUUCUGUGAUGAAAAGUUCAUGUUGAUGAUGAACAUGAAGAACGUGUGAUGAAUGCUUGCAUUUCGUUCCCAGACUCGUGGUAGAUCUGUUUCCCGUGGCUUUUGCAUGAUUUUUCUGUUUGUUCCCCAUGAAGCCAGUCACGUGGUGACACCUCACUUAGUGAAAC
Molecule: long non-coding RNA, 203 nt
Filed under: Lathyrus oleraceus (garden pea)
Lineage: Eukaryota; Viridiplantae; Streptophyta; Magnoliopsida; Fabales; Fabaceae
Description: Pisum sativum (pea) long non-coding RNA (PSAT_LNC041095)
Source: RNAcentral